UGCUAUGCGCAAAAAUUGUGAUUAAUUCAGUUUCACUUUUGCUAUCAUCGUGGGUUAUUAUACAUAUACCUAUAGUGCGCGAGACAUAUUGCCUAAAGUAUGUAUCCAACGAGAAGGAAGCAUAUGCGUAAACCGGCACUACCACCAGAUAUUAACCAGAGUUUCCCACGAUUCUGCGCGAUUAGUUCAUCAAUGGAUUUGCCAUACGACUCUCCAUUUACCAUGUAAACGUGUUGGGACCAUGUUUGUUACCGACUGAUCAUCUCAAGGAAUGACAAGCGGUAUGCAAGAUGUCAUUCAUUUUCAUGAACAGCUGGUAAUUACACAUAAAUUUUGCUUUUUAUUGUUUCUUUUCAGGAAACAGGAUGCAAUGUCAUGCAUAAUUUGCUUUAAUAUCUCCUUGUAUUUUUUGUUUUAAAUAUUUAUCUUAAUUACAGUAAGAAAAUAAACACUUCAGUAAGCACAGAAACA
Rhagoletis pomonella (apple maggot) is the source of this 471-nucleotide long non-coding RNA. RefSeq lists it as uncharacterized. The record is from RefSeq and is a predicted model, not a curated record. Lineage: Eukaryota; Metazoa; Arthropoda; Insecta; Diptera; Tephritidae. The transcript is spliced from 2 exons.